Molecule: long non-coding RNA, 548 nt
Filed under: Pan troglodytes (chimpanzee)
Lineage: Eukaryota; Metazoa; Chordata; Mammalia; Primates; Hominidae
Description: long non-coding RNA NONPTRT006979
Source: RNAcentral
GAAAAUCAUGGAGAGAUUGUUUACAUAAAUCCCACAGUUCAAGGGCAGAAAGAGGAAUGGAAAGAGGAGUUAGAAUUGAAUUCUGCUUACGUUUUGUUAGUGUUUCAUUUUAUUGGCCUCACUUUGCCCUUUAGAUGGACUCCUGCUGUGUGUGAUGGAGAUAGCACCACAAAGGCAGUGGCGUGUGUCCUCGCCAACAGUCCGCAUCCCAGGUGCUGCAUUCGUGCCCUUUUGGGGGAAGGUAAGAUAGAAGUUUACAGAAUUUAAGCAUCUGUGGGGCCAGGCGUGGUGGCUCACACCUAUAAUCACAGUACUUUGGGAGGCUGAGGUAGGAGGAUCGCUUGAGUCCAGGAGGCUGGGGCUGUAGUGAGCUAUGAUUGUGCCACUGCACUCCAGCCUGAGAGACAGAACAAGACCCUGUCUCCAAUUUUUUGUGUUUAUUCAGACCUUUUAUUUUGCUGACAUUCCAAACUUACAUUAGAAAGUGUUCUUGGCCGGGUGCGGUGGCUCGUGCCCGUAAUCCCAGCACUUUGGGAGGCCGAGGCGGG